This 1011-nucleotide long non-coding RNA is filed under the name Homo sapiens (human). Its description in RNAcentral is "HSALNT0266453". The record is from RNAcentral. Lineage: Eukaryota; Metazoa; Chordata; Mammalia; Primates; Hominidae.
AUUGCCAUCUUUCUUUGGUACAUUUUUUGGUGCUGUAAUCCCAGCACUUUGGGAGGCCAAGGCAGGAGGGUGCCUUGAGCGUAGGAGUUCAAGACCAGCCUGGGCAACACUGGGAGCUGCUGUCUCUAUUACAAAACAAACAAAGCAAAAACUAAGAGAUUAAUAUUGGGGCUGAAAGAAGUGACACUUCUUGGUCAGAAUGUUAAUAGUUUUCGGGACAAUUCGGAGGUCCAGUUCAACAGUGCAGUGCCUACCAAUCUCAGUCGUGGCUUUACCACCAACUAUAAAACCAAGCAAGGAGGACUUCGUUUUGCUCAUCUUCUGGAUCAGGUCUCCAGAGUAGAUCCUGAAAUGAGGAUCCGUUUUACCUCUCCCCACCCCAAGGAUUUUCCUGAUGAGGUUCUGCAGCUGAUUCAUGAGAGAGAUAACAUCUGUAAACAGAUCCACCUGCCAGCCCAGAGUGGAAGCAGCCGUGUGUUGGAGGCCAUGCGGAGGGGGUCAGGCUUGCUUGGAGAGGGGGCAUCCCUCACUUUUCCAUGUUUCCUUAAUGACCAAACAGUGUCCUUGUUGCCAAGAACCUAGCAUAGUGUGUGGCACAAAGUAGCUGCUCAGUAAAUAUUUAUUGUAUGACUAAGCCACUGGGCACUGGAGUUUGCUUCUGCUCACUUCAUAAGCAAAGGCUAAGGACUGGUCACCCAUUUUCACUGUUUAGUUUAAAAAGCAUAAAUAUUUACUGAGCAGCCACUGUGUGACAGUAAGUAUUUAUUGUAUGACUAAGCCACAGGGCACUGGAGCUUGCUUCGCUAACUCCAUAACAUAGGCUAAGGACUGGGUCAUCCAUUUUCACUGUUUAGUAUGUUUUUUUUUAAUUAAGCACCUAUGGUGUGGCACACUCUGAGAUUUUAAUUUUUUAAUGUUAACAUUAAGGUUUUGUUACAUCUUGGAAUUUAAAUGUCGCUCUAUGUGUUCACUUUCUUUGAGAAUAAUAAGUAUUACACAGAUGAGACUGAA